Molecule: ribosomal RNA, 496 nt
Filed under: uncultured bacterium
Lineage: Bacteria
Description: partial 16S ribosomal RNA
Rfam family: Bacterial small subunit ribosomal RNA
Source: RNAcentral
AUGAACGCUGGCGGCGUGCCUAAUACAUGCAAGUCGAGCGAACGGACGAGAAGCUUGCUUCUCUGAUGUUAGCGGCGGACGGGUGAGUAACACGUGGAUAACCUACCUAUAAGACUGGGAUAACUUCGGGAAACCGGAGCUAAUACCGGAUAAUAUUUUGAACCGCAUGGUUCAAAAGUGAAAGACGGUCUUGCUGUCACUUAUAGAUGGAUCCGCGCUGCAUUAGCUAGUUGGUAAGGUAACGGCUUACCAAGGCAACGAUGCAUAGCCGACCUGAGAGGGUGAUCGGCCACACUGGAACUGAGAAACGGUCCAGACUCCUACGGGAGGCAGCAGUAGGGAAUCUUCCGCAAUGGGCGAAAGCCUGACGGAGCAACGCCGCGUGAGUGAUGAAGGUCUUCGGAUCGUAAAACUCUGUUAUUAGGGAAGAACAUAUGUGUAAGUAACUGUGCACAUCUUGACGGUACCUAAUCAGAAAGCCACGGCUAACUACGUG